CAGCCGUGGCGGCAGGCGGCCUGGUGGGGAAGGGGCGCGACAUCAGCCUAGCGGCCCUGCAGCGCCACGACCCCUAUAUCAACCGCAUCGUGGACGUGGCCAGCCAGGUGGCUCUGUACACCUUCGGCCAUCGGGCCAACGAGUGGGAGAAAACUGAUGUGGAAGGAACCUUAUUUGUUUAUACAAGGUCUGCUUCUCCAAAGCACGGAUUCACCAUUAUGAAUAGGCUGAGCAUGGAAAAUAGGACAGAACCUAUUACUAAAGACUUGGAUUUCCAACUCCAGGACCCUUUCCUUCUCUACAGAAAUGCCAGAUUGUCCAUCUAUGGAAUUUGGUUUUAUGAUAAGGAAGAAUGCCAAAGAAUUGCAGAGCUUAUGAAAAACCUAACUCAGUAUGAACAGUUGAAAGCCCAUCAGGGAACUGGAGCAGGAAUUUCCCCAAUGAUCCUCAAUUCAGGAGAGGGCAAAGAAGUAGAUAUUUUACGAAUGCUCAUCAAGGCCAAAGACGAAUACACAAAGCCAGAUGUUGUGAUACAGUGUACCAGGACACCUGCAUGAUCACGCUACUUUCCUAGUCUGCGUUUUUCUUGGUUUGUCAU
RNAcentral lists this small RNA (598 nucleotides) under Pongo abelii (Sumatran orangutan). RNAcentral describes it as "processed transcript". Lineage: Eukaryota; Metazoa; Chordata; Mammalia; Primates; Hominidae. The record is from RNAcentral.